Molecule: transfer RNA, 73 nt
Filed under: Marmota monax (woodchuck)
Lineage: Eukaryota; Metazoa; Chordata; Mammalia; Rodentia; Sciuridae
Description: tRNA.Ala
Source: RNAcentral
GGAUGUGGCUGGAGCGGUAGCAUGCUCGCCUGGCAUGUGUGCGGCCCGGGUUCGAUCCUCAGCACCACAUACA